GACGAACGCUGGCGGCGUGCCUAAUACAUGCAAGUAGAACGCUGAAGAGAGGAGCUUGCUCUUCUUGGAUGAGUUGCGAACGGGUGAGUAACGCGUAGGUAACCUGCCUGGUAGCGGGGGAUAACUAUUGGAAACGAUAGCUAAUACCGCAUAAAAUGGAUUAUCGCAUGAUAAUCCAUUGAAAGGUGCAAAUGCAUCACUACCAGAUGGACCUGCGUUGUAUUAGCUAGUUGGUGGGGUAACGGCUCACCAAGGCGACGAUACAUAGCCGACCUGAGAGGGUGAUCGGCCACACUGGGACUGGGACACGGCCCAGACUCCUACGGGAGGCAGCAGUAGGGGAUCUUCGGCAAUGGACGGAAGUCUGACCGAGCAACGCCGCGUGAGUGAAGAAGGUUUUCGGAUCGUAAAGCUCUGUUGUAAGAGAAGAACGAGUGUGAGAGUGGAAAGUUCACACUGUGACGGUAUCUUACCAGAAAGGGACGGCUAACUACGUG
Molecule: ribosomal RNA, 497 nt
Filed under: uncultured bacterium
Lineage: Bacteria
Description: partial 16S ribosomal RNA
Rfam family: Bacterial small subunit ribosomal RNA
Source: RNAcentral